CAAGACAUGUUAUAUCAGAAAAUAUUAUGACAUAAAUUUCUGUUUUUAAUUUUUCAUAAAACCGUCAAUUCACUACGUCAUAAUUAAGUAGUUAAAAUUUAUCGAGCAUGAUCGUUCUAAAAGCUCAUUAAUAUUUUCAUGGUCUUUUAAUUGCCAUUAGUGAGAGAGGGAACCGCAGCUACUAAAAUUCUUUUGUGUGCCGUCUUUCCUCCAUGAGGCAAAGUAUGCAAAGAGCAAACUGCUGUUGCAUCUAGAUGAGCAACAUUAUUCUUGCAGAUUCAUCGCCGAUAACUUCUUUUCCAUUUCUUCCGCCGCGCCUUGACGUGAAAUAAGAAGGAAGUAAUAGUCCAAAGGUACACAGGCACUUGGCAGGAAACCAAAUCCUCGACCUGAAGAACGCCAGGAAGCGUGCACACGUGCACGCGAUAGCGACGGUAUACUUUUCGGGAAGAGAUCGCAAUAGACAAAAUCAACAAAAGUUUGAGAAAGCCGCCAGCAUGUUUUUAACAAUUUCAUCAUAAUUCAUAGCAAAAAAAAGAUAGAAAAGCCACUUUCUUUUUUUUCUGCACGGACAUCUUUACUUCACUUUAACAACUACGUUACACGCGUUGUAACAACUAAAAAAGAACAACCGCAACUAUCGAUUGAACAUUAAUCAUUGAUAAGAUUUCUUAAACGUCGCUGUGUGUGUAUAUUGGUAAUAAAUGUCGUUC
Pseudomyrmex gracilis is the source of this 713-nucleotide long non-coding RNA. RefSeq lists it as uncharacterized. The record is from RefSeq and is a predicted model, not a curated record. The transcript has 4 exons. Lineage: Eukaryota; Metazoa; Arthropoda; Insecta; Hymenoptera; Formicidae.